This 334-nucleotide ribosomal RNA is filed under the name uncultured eukaryote. RNAcentral's name for it is "partial 18S ribosomal RNA". It matches the Rfam family "Eukaryotic small subunit ribosomal RNA", at positions 1470 to 1796 of the family's 1831-position model. The record is from RNAcentral.
CCCUUAGAUGUCCGGGGCCGCACGCGCGCUACACUGAAGGAAUCAGCGUGGCUUUCUCCCUGACCCGAAAGGGUUGGGAAACCCGUUGAAUCUCCUUCGUGAUAGGGAUUGGGGCUUGAAAUUGUUCCCCAUGAACGAGGAAUUCCCAGUAAGCGCGAGUCAUAAGCUCGCGUUGAUUACGUCCCUGCCCUUUGUACACACCGCCCGUCGCUACUACCGAUUGAACGGUUUAGUGAGGGCCUCGGAUUGGUCUCGGCCCGCUCUUUACCGGGCGGCGCCGUUGGUCGAGAAGACGCUCGAACUUGAUCGUUUAGAGGAAGUAAAAGUCGUAGCA